RNAcentral lists this unclassified non-coding RNA (335 nucleotides) under soil metagenome. RNAcentral describes it as "partial contains 5.8S ribosomal RNA, internal transcribed spacer 2, and large subunit ribosomal RNA". The stretch from base 1 to 120 matches the Rfam family "5.8S ribosomal RNA", at positions 35 to 154 of the family's 154-position model. The record is from RNAcentral.
GAUGAAGAACGUAGCGAAAUGCGAUAAGUAAUGUGAAUUGCAGAAUUCAGUGAAUCAUCGAAUCUUUGAACGCACAUUGCGCCCGCCAGUAUUCUGGCGGGCAUGCCUGUUCGAGCGUCAUUUCAACCCUCAAGCCCCCGGGCUUGUGUUGGGGACCUGCGGCUGCCGCAGGCCCUGAAAUGCAGUGGCGGGCUCGCUGUCACUCCGAGCGUAGUAGUUACAUCUCGCUCUGGGCGUGCUGCGGGUUCCGGCCGUUAAAAGCCUUAUUUACCCAAGGUUGACCUCGGAUCAGGUAGGAAGACCCGCUGAACUUAAGCAUAUCAAUAAGCGGAGGA